GGAGGAGUGCCCGAGUGGUUAAAGGGGACGGACUGUAAAUCCGUUGGCUAUGCCUACGUUGGUUCAAAUCCAACCUCCUCCACCA
RNAcentral lists this transfer RNA (85 nucleotides) under Aquamicrobium soli. RNAcentral describes it as "tRNA-Tyr". It matches the Rfam family "tRNA". From Rfam's summary of the family: Transfer RNA (tRNA) molecules are approximately 80 nucleotides in length. The record is from RNAcentral. RNAcentral also lists the same sequence under 7 other names. Lineage: Bacteria; Pseudomonadati; Pseudomonadota; Alphaproteobacteria; Hyphomicrobiales; Phyllobacteriaceae.